UACGAAGGGGGCUAGCGUUGUUCGGAAUUACUGGGCGUAAAGCGCACGUAGGCGGAUUUGUAAGUCAGGGGUGAAAUCCCGGGGCUCAACCUCGGAACUGCCUUUGAUACUGCAAGUCUUGAGUCCGGAAGAGGUGAGUGGAAUUCCUAGUGUAGAGGUGAAAUUCGUAGAUAUUAGGAAGAACACCAGUGGCGAAGGCGGCUCACUGGUCCGGUACUGACGCUGAGGUGCGAAAGCGUGGGGAGCAAACAGGAUUAGAAACCCCAGUAGUCC
Molecule: ribosomal RNA, 273 nt
Filed under: uncultured bacterium
Lineage: Bacteria
Description: partial 16S ribosomal RNA
Rfam family: Bacterial small subunit ribosomal RNA
Source: RNAcentral